UCAUUAUCAUUUUUCUAUGGAUUUUAUUGGAUUCAGUUACGGACCAUAAGUUGUGAAUCAGGGAUCGAAAACCUUUUCAAUCGAAAACCUGACCCGGGAUCAUUAUCAUUUUUCUAUGAAGUUCAGACAAUCCGAUUGCUUCUCGUAAAGUUGUUGUGCAUUUGAGAGCUACUGGUGAUGCUCCGAUUCUCAAACAAGCAAAAUUCAAGAUUGCUGGAACCGAUAAAUUUUCUAAGGUGAUUGAUUUUCUUCGUCGCCAACUUCACAAGGAGACUCUGUUUGUUUAUGUGAACAGUGCCUUCUCCCCAAGUCCAGACCAACUAGUGAAUGACCUGUACGAUAACUUUGGAAUUGAUGGGAAAUUGGUGGUUAACUAUGCAUGCUCUAUGGCUUGGGGCUAAUUUGGAGAAUGUAGCAAAACUUGUACAGCUGCAAAAAACUUGUUAUACGGGAAUUUCAUUUGGUAAAUAUGAUUAAUCUUUUUAGAUUGUAUCCAAAAUUGGUUUGACCAUUGCAUUUUACUAGCUCUUUAGCUGUGGGUCGCUUUGACUUAGAUGGUUAUUUCUUCCUAAUGGGGUAAAUUUAUCAUUCAGAAGGGUUUUCUGAUACUUUUUCAGGCCUUGUUGUUACGUUUUAUAGUUUUCCUAAGCUCGUGCUGAUACCUCUUAUUAUAUUUCAAUAGCUCAUACUUUUUUGUU
This 698-nucleotide long non-coding RNA is filed under the name Helianthus annuus (common sunflower). The record is from RNAcentral. Lineage: Eukaryota; Viridiplantae; Streptophyta; Magnoliopsida; Asterales; Asteraceae.